GCAUGAUGCCUACGGGCCAAAGAGGGGGACCUUCGGGCCUCUCGCGUCAGGAUAUGCCUAGGUGGGAUUAGCUAGUUGGUGAGGUAAGGGCUCACCAAGGCGACGAUCCCUAGCUGGUCUGAGAGGAUGAUCAGCCACACUGGAACUGAGACACGGUCCAGACUCCUACGGGAGGCAGCAGUGGGGAAUAUUGCACAAUGGGCGCAAGCCUGAUGCAGCCAUGCCGCGUGUGUGAAGAAGGCCUUCGGGUUGUAAAGCACUUUCAGUCGUGAGGAAGGUAGUGUAGUUAAUAGCUGCAUUAUUUGACGUUAGCGACAGAAGAAGCACCGGCUAACUCCGUGCCAGCAGCCGCGGUAAUACGGAGGGUGCGAGCGUUAAUCGGAAUUACUGGGCGUAAAGCGCAUGCAGGUGGUUUGUUAAGUCAGAUGUGAAAGCCCGGGGCUCAACCUCGGAAUUGCAUUUGAAACUGGCAGACUAGAGUACUGUAGAGGGGGGUAGAAUUUCAGGUGUAGCGGUGAAAUGCGUAGAGAUCUGAAGGAAUACCGGUGGCGAAGGCGGCCCCCUGGACAGAUACUGACACUCAGAUGCGAAAGCGUGGGGAGCAAACAGGAUUAGAUACCCUGGUAGUCCACGCCGUAAACGAUGUCUACUUGGAGGUUGUGGCCUUGAGCCGUGGCUUUCGGAGCUAACGCGUUAAGUAGACCGCCUGGGGAGUACGGUCGCAAGAUUAAAACUCAAAUGAAUUGACGGGGGCCCGCACAAGCGGUGGAGCAUGUGGUUUAAUUCGAUGCAACGCGAAGAACCUUACCUACUCUUGACAUCCAGAGAACUUUCCAGAGAUGGAUUGGUGCCUUCGGGAACUCUGAGACAGGUGCUGCAUGGCUGUCGUCAGCUCGUGUUGUGAAAUGUUGGGUUAAGUCCCGCAACGAGCGCAACCCUUAUCCUUGUUUGCCAGCGAGUAAUGUCGGGAACUCCAGGGAGACUGCCGGUGAUAAACCGGAGGAAGGUGGGGACGACGUCAAGUCAUCAUGGCCCUUACGAGUAGGGCUACACACGUGCUACAAUGGCGCAUACAGAGGGCGGCCAACUUGCGAAAGUGAGCGAAUCCCAAAAAGUGCGUCGUAGUCCGGAUUGGAGUCUGCAACUCGACUCCAUGAAGUCGGAAUCGCUAGUAAUCGUGGAUCAGAAUGCCACGGUGAAUACGUUCCCGGGCCUUGUACACACCGCCCGUCACACCAUGGGAGUGGGCUGCAAAAGAAGUAGGUAGUUUAACCUUCGGGGGGACGCUUACCACUUUGUGGUUCAUGACUGGGGUGAAGUCGUAACAAGGUAGCGCUAGGGGAACCUGGCGCUGGAUCACCUCCUUAAACGAUGAU
RNAcentral lists this ribosomal RNA (1376 nucleotides) under Vibrio parahaemolyticus. RNAcentral's name for it is "bacterial SSU rRNA". It matches the Rfam family "Bacterial small subunit ribosomal RNA", at positions 171 to 1533 of the family's 1533-position model. Lineage: Bacteria; Pseudomonadati; Pseudomonadota; Gammaproteobacteria; Vibrionales; Vibrionaceae. The record is from RNAcentral.